Molecule: long non-coding RNA, 1520 nt
Organism: Triticum aestivum (bread wheat)
Lineage: Eukaryota; Viridiplantae; Streptophyta; Magnoliopsida; Poales; Poaceae
Exons: 3
Source: RefSeq, a predicted model, not a curated record
CCAUCCAAUGGUCGGCGAGGUGGCGGAUCUUUUUCCAGUAUCCGCCGGCCGACGGGUUGACCUAUAUUGUCUGGAAAAAAGUAAGCGAUUUUAUAGCUAUUGCAUUCCGACCGGUGGGGUCCAAACUGAGCUUUGCUAACCGUGGUCUGAACGAGAAAACAACCCGUAGCACCAAGCACCACGGUCCACGACGCCGGCGGCACACCGCCACCGCUCGAAAUCCCAGCAAGGUAGCCAGUGCCCCAAAUAAAUCGUCUCAACUAAAUCAGCGGCUUGGGCGCGAUGCUUGCGCUCAGAUCGGGUAUACUCUCGUCAGAUCAUGCCCAACUCCUUGUGCAGGACUCGGCUCACCACCUGCUCGACGGAAUGCCUGGCUGGGCACGCCGCAUAAUAUUCAUUUAGUGGAUCAAGAUUUCCUCUCACUGUGCCCUCAAACAUGGUUGGAUCCUGUGGGAUGAUGCUAAGUCUGCCUCGUAAAUCAUGCAACCCAAUUUUGCUGAGAUCAACAUUAUCAAUUUCAAUUGUCCCUUGUCUUGGUUCAACAAUCCGGAAAAGCGCUUGAAUCAAAGUUGACUUUCCACUGCCAGUUACAGAUGACAACUGCCCGUUGAGGUUCAGUGCAUAAGUCACUGCAAGUCCCGCAAUGCCUGUGCAUUCAAUUAUGUCAGUUUCACAGCCACCAAAAAUUAGUGAUCAGAGUAUAGACUACAAAAACGAAUCAACUAUAACUUGUCUGCAUGAAAAACUUACUUGGAUUUAUAAAACCUUCGGGAAGACUCACCAACAGAGUCAAAGAAAAGGCAAAGACAAAGUUAGAUAGCAUGUUUAGCCUGAAGCAAAGCCACUCCACAGCCGAGACGUUAUGGAACCAUGGUCGUAAGUGGUUGUUAACAAGACUGAUGUUUGCUUUGCUGAAGCGGUCUUUCCGUCCAUAUGCUCUAAUACUUGCCGCUCCUGUAAGUGAUUCCGCAGAAUGGUGGAGUAUUGGAGCCCUUUGAAUUUGUUGUAGACGAGCCAGCUCUCUUGCUGUUGGUAUGUAGUACCGCUGCAUGUCAUAGGGAGAAUAUUGGAUUCAGUGCUUUGUGGAAAAUCAUCAAGGAGGAAAUAUGCACUAAUGGCUUCCUGGAAAACAACGCGUACGGAAAUAACUUGAUGCAUACAUUGUACUUGGAUGAGUUAAAUCUAGUGCAAAAAUAUCACUGCAAGGAGCUCUUACUUGAAACACAUAACAGAUUGCUGUCACUGGAAUAAAGAUGACAAAAACUGGCCACGCAACCUGUGACAUAAUGCCAAUGGUCCCCAGAAUUUGUAUAACAGAAAACGCGCACCAACCAAGGCUGUCUGCCAUUUUCAGAUCUAAGACACUUUGGUCAUUGGAGACCUGUUACAAAGUACAGUACAUAAUUAGUAAUUUCAAGGAGACAGUGUAAAAAAAAGAGGGAAAUAGCAGGACUAGCCAGUGCAAAAUGAUGUGAGGAGUAAUCGAACACCAACCCUGUUUAGGAUCCUGCCAGUGGGUG